UGCCCAGCAACUCCUAUCCCUACCUCCUCGCGGUACUAGCCGAGGUACGAGUAACCUUAGGGAAGAUCGGGUAAUCCCCGAUGGGAGCUUUAGUCGUAUGCUGACAGGGAAAG
This 113-nucleotide ribozyme is filed under the name Aedes aegypti (yellow fever mosquito). RNAcentral describes it as "drz-agam-1 ribozyme". It matches the Rfam family "drz-agam-1 ribozyme". The record is from Rfam by way of RNAcentral. Lineage: Eukaryota; Metazoa; Arthropoda; Insecta; Diptera; Culicidae.